GACGAACGCUGGCGGCGUGCCUAAUACAUGCAAGUCGAGCGAACCAAUAAGAAGCUUGCUUUUUGUUGGUUAGCGGCGGACGGGUGAGUAACAUGAGGUUAGCCUGCCUGUAAGACCGGGAUAACUCCGGGAAACCGGUGCUAAUACCGGAUAGAUUAUCUUUCCGCAUGGAGAGAUAAGGAAAGAUGGCUAUUGCCAUCACUUACAGAUGGGCCCGCGGCGCAUUAGCUAGUUCGUGAGGUAACGGCUCACCAAGGCGACGAUGCGUAGCCGACCUGAGAGGGGGAUCGGCCACACUGGGACUGACACACGACCCAGACUCCGAGGGGAGGCAGCGGUAGGGAAUCUUCCGCGAUGGACGAAAGACUGACGGAGCAACGCAGCGUGAGCGAAGAAGGUCUUCGGAUCGUAUAGCUCUGUUGUUAGGGAAGAACAAGUAUCGGAGGAAAUGCCGUUACCUUGACGGUACCUGAAGAGAAAGCAACGGCUAACUACGUG
Molecule: ribosomal RNA, 498 nt
Filed under: uncultured bacterium
Lineage: Bacteria
Description: partial 16S ribosomal RNA
Rfam family: Bacterial small subunit ribosomal RNA
Source: RNAcentral